ACGGGAGGCAGCAGUGGGGAAUAUUGCGCAAUGGAGGAAACUCUGACGCAGCGACGCCGCGUGAAGGAAGAAGGUCUUCGGAUUGUAAACUUCUGUCCUCAGGGAAGAAACAAAUGACGGUACCUGGGGAGGAAGCCCCGGCUAACUACGUGCCAGCAGCCGCGGUAAUACGUAGGGGGCAAGCGUUGUCCGGAAUUAUUGGGUGUAAAGGGCGCGUAGGCGGCUUUGCAAGUCAUGCGUGAAAUCUAUAGGCUUAACCUAUAGCCUGCGUUUGAAACUGCGGAGCUUGAGUAAAGUAGAGGCAAGUGGAAUUUCCAGUGUAGCGGUGAAAUGCGUAGAUAUUGGAAGGAACACCGGUGGCGAAGGCGACUUGCUGGGCUUUCACUGACGCUGAGGCGCGAAAGCGUGGGUAGCAAACAGGAUUAGAUACCCUGGUA
Molecule: ribosomal RNA, 437 nt
Filed under: uncultured Oscillospiraceae bacterium
Lineage: Bacteria; Bacillati; Bacillota; Clostridia; Eubacteriales; Oscillospiraceae
Description: bacterial SSU rRNA
Rfam family: Bacterial small subunit ribosomal RNA
Source: RNAcentral